CAGGAUUCCUGGUUUUCAAGCCUGAGCUGAUCUCUCGGCUGGAGCAGGGAGAAGAGCCAUGGGUCCUCGACCUGCAGGGAGCAGAGGGGACAGAGGCACCAAGGACCUCCAAGACAGAUUCUACGAUUAGGACUGAAAAUGAGCAGGCCUGUGAGGACAUGGACAUCCUAGAAUCAGAAUCCUAUGGGACAGUGGUCAGAAUCUCCCCACAGGACUUUCCUCAGAAUCCUGGCUUUGG
Molecule: small RNA, 238 nt
Filed under: Pan troglodytes (chimpanzee)
Lineage: Eukaryota; Metazoa; Chordata; Mammalia; Primates; Hominidae
Description: retained intron
Source: RNAcentral